RNAcentral lists this long non-coding RNA (1101 nucleotides) under Heterocephalus glaber (naked mole-rat). RNAcentral's name for it is "lncRNA (ENSHGLG00100050962.1)". The record is from RNAcentral. Lineage: Eukaryota; Metazoa; Chordata; Mammalia; Rodentia; Bathyergidae.
GGUAAAUCUGCUGAUGUCCUUGUGAGAGAGAGAGGAUUACACUUGUUUAUCUACAAGGAUACAAAGGUCAGCCUGCUAAUGUCCUUGUGCAGGAAAGGAGAUUGCACCUGUUUAUGACAAAGAUACUGAGGUGAGCCUGCUGAUGUCUUCAUAAGGGAGAGGGGAUUGCACAUGUUUAUAAGGACACUGAGGUAAGCCUGUUGAUGUCCUUGUGUGUGAGAGGGCUGGCACUUGUUUAUCUACAAGGAUAGUAAGGUCAGCCAGCUGAUGUCCUUGUGCAGGAAAGGGAUUGUACCUGCUUAUCAAUAAGGAUACUAAGUUAAGCCUGCAAUGUCUUUGUGCAGGAGAGGAGAUUGCACCUGUUUAUCUACAAGGAUACUAAGGUAAACCUACUAAUAUCCUCAUGCAGGAAGGGACAAUGGACCUGUUUAUCUACAGAGAUCCUAAGGUAAUCCUACUGAUGUCCUUGUGCAGGAGAGGGGAUUGCACCUACUUCUCUAUAAGGAUACUGAAGUAAGCCUGCUGAUGUCCUUGGGUAGGAUAGGGUAAUGAAACUGUGUAUCUACAAGGAUUCAAAGGAGAUGGGAUUGCACCUGUUUAUCUACAAGUAUAUCAAGAUGGACCAUCCUGGAGCCACACAGAGCCUGGGGCCAUCUUCUGAUCACUUUGCCACAGAACUACUAGGAGCAGCUCUUUAGAUUGAAGAAGACCAGGCCACCAGGCCCCAACGCCAUCCAAACAGAUCUGACCUCCAUCAUCCCAGCAAGGAAGUGAUGGGCCUGCCUUGUGAGCUGGGUCUGAUGAACAUCACCCCACUGAAUCCUCCAGCUAUCUCAGGGCUUCAGGUGUCUCAGCUCUAACAUGACUCCAGCUAAACACAGCUGACUUUGCCUCCACAACUGGGAGAAGCAGCUUGGAAAAACCCCCUAGGGAGCCAGGGACCUCAGACCCAGCUGCUUCCACUCAGCGGGGCCACAGAAGCUGCUGAGGCCCAGGCUGGGUGUGCACUGAGCAAAGCAAAUGGAUGAUUCCCAGCAGGGAUGUUGAGACAGUUCAUCCACCCUUGACAUCUUCCUACGGCAGCUUGCUGGCUUCUGCCUG